GACGAACUUUGGCGGCGUGCUUAACACAUGCAAGUCGAACGGAAAGGCCCUGCUUUUGUGGGGUGCUCGAGUGGCGAACGGGUGAGUAACACGUGAGUAACCUGCCCUUGACUUUGGGAUAACUUCAGGAAACUGGGGCUAAUACCGGAUAGGAGCUCCUGCUGCAUGGUGGGGGUUGGAAAGUUUCGGCGGUUGGGGAUGGACUCGCGGCUUAUCAGCUUGUUGGUGGGGUAGUGGCUUACCAAGGCUUUGACGGGUAGCCGGCCUGAGAGGGUGACCGGCCACAUUGGGACUGAGAUACGGCCCAGACUCCUACGGGAGGCAGCAGUGGGGAAUAUUGCACAAUGGGCGGAAGCCUGAUGCAGCAACGCCGCGUGCGGGAUGACGGCCUUCGGGUUGUAAACCGCUUUCGCCUGUGACGAAGCGUGAGUGACGGUAAUGGGUAAAGAAGCACCGGCUAACUACGUGCCAGCAGCCGCGGUGAUACGUAGGGUGCGAGCGUUGUCCGGAUUUAUUGGGCGCAAAGGGCUCGUAGGUGGUUGAUCGCGUCGGAAGUGUAAUCUUGGGGCUUAACCCUGAGCGUGCUUUCGAUACGGGUUGACUUGAGGAAGGUAGGGGAGAAUGGAAUUCCUGGUGGAGCGGUGGAAUGCGCAGAUAUCAGGAGGAACACCAGUGGCGAAGGCGGUUCUCUGGGCCUUUCCUGACGCUGAGGAGCGAAAGCGUGGGGAGCGAACAGGCUUAGAUACCCUGGUAGUCCACGCUGUAAACGGUGGGUACUAGGUGUGGGGUCCAUUCCACGGGUUCCGUGCCGUAGCUAACGCUUUAAGUACCCCGCCUGGGGAGUACGGCCGCAAGGCUAAAACUCAAAGGAAUUGACGGGGCCCCGCACAAGCGGCGGAGCAUGCGGAUUAAUUCGAUGCAACGCGUAGAACCUUACCUGGGUUUGACAUGGAUCGGGAGUGCUCAGAGAUGGGUGUGCCUCUUUUGGGGUCGGUUCACAGGUGGUGCAUGGCUGUCGUCAGCUCGUGUCGUGAGAUGUUGGGUUAAGUCCCGCAACGAGCGCAACCCUUGUUCACUGUUGCCAGCACGUUAUGGUGGGGACUCAGUGGAGACCGCCGGGGUCAACUCGGAGGAAGGUGGGGAUGACGUCAAGUCAUCAUGCCCCUUAUGUCCAGGGCUUCACGCAUGCUACAAUGGCUGGUACAGAGAGUGGCGAGCCUGUGAGGGUGAGCGAAUCUCGGAAAGCCGGUCUCAGUUCGGAUUGGGGUCUGCAACUCGACCUCAUGAAGUCGGAGUCGCUAGUAAUCGCAGAUCAGCAACGCUGCGGUGAAUACGUUCCCGGGGCU
RNAcentral lists this ribosomal RNA (1346 nucleotides) under uncultured bacterium. RNAcentral describes it as "partial 16S ribosomal RNA". It matches the Rfam family "Bacterial small subunit ribosomal RNA", at positions 28 to 1381 of the family's 1533-position model. The record is from RNAcentral.